AAAAAUUAGGAAUUUUACACACCGUAUGCCACAUUAAUAAAUAUCCUGCCCUAAAGAUAAUCAUUGGAAAGAAUGCUGCUUUUACACAAAGACAAAAACCUGCUGAUAAACCUUUAUCCCAAAUGAUUCCAUGUAAAUGCCAGUGAGAUCAUUAAAACCAGUUUAACUAUGCAUAUCAUCAAAUGAUUUUAAUAUGUAGAGGCUUGGUACACUUUCAUUACAGAAAUCAAUCCAAGGUUGGGAAUGUUUUCUAAAUCUAGCAUUUUAGGAUAUUUUAAUGCAACACUGAUACUUUGUAUUGCAAAACUGUUUCAUACUUAACACUGAGUCUAACUGCUUCAUUUUGUUUGGAAAAUCAACAAAACGUUACAACCGGAAUUACUCACAAUCAAAAGUGUCAGUGUUUACACUGCUGCAGUUUCCCCAAAGAGGGUCCAUAGAUCAUCUUGGGAGCCAUUGAUGUCGGAUGAAUAGGAUGUUUAUCUAAACCAGGCACAGUUUCGACAGUAAUUGUAUUCGUCCAUUUCAAUGCCUUCAAAUUAAUGACCUUUUUUUCAGUAGCAACCCUACACUAUUCAAGCUGUUCAUCUGUUCAUCAGUUCUUUGUUAUUUGCGAAGUCAGUGACAUCAAUACCUUUUAACAGGCAGGGAUGCCACUGUGCAUGUAAUAUCUGAUCAAAAGCUUGGAUCUAACGAAUUAGCACAGAGGAGAUUUGCCCUGUGUGUUUAUCUAGAAAAGCACACAAAGGAGGUUCAAGCUUUUUGCAUAUUCCAUAGAGAGAAAUCUGACAGUUAAGUAAACCUCAUCACUGCUGUCCAAAGCUAACACUUGUGAAGAACUAGGGCAUAUUUACAGUGCACUUCAUGUAGACGCUCAGAAAAAUAAAGUUACGGAAGUUGUCACUUGGGCGUUGCCUUUUCAAAAGGUAUAAAUAUGUACACUUUAGGUACUGAUAAAUACUUUAAGGUACCAGUGUGCACCCUUAAGGAGUAAACAAGGUACAAAUGUACUGGUCCAGUGUUGGAAUUGUGUCAAAGCUCUUGGGGAGUCCCCCUUACCGCUCAAAAACUCAGAUGUUUCAGCGAUGACUAAUGUGGAUGCCUCUGAUUGGCCAUUGUGUUCAUAAACUCAUAAUUGUGUGUAAUUGGUUAUAAUGCACAACGCUGUAACCCCACCCCCCCCACCCCCAAAGUUAAUUUUUAUGGGCUUUAUGGGAGGGUUCCUUAAGGCUUAUGGGAGGUCCGGGAAACCCAGCCCGCCCUCAAUUCGAACACUGUACUGGCCCCAGUGACAGCUUUUGUAGCUUUUCUGAGAUAUUUUGAUGAUUGCAUCGCUAUCCAUUUGAGUAUCAGACUUCAUUUGGCCAUAUAAAUGUUUCUCCACAACACACACAUGUCCACAUGUAUUAUUCCUGCACUAUAUACAAAAAACUGGAUGCACAUAAUGUGGCUCAUGUUGAACUGAAAAUGGUGGGGGUGAUUCUUUGAAAAAUUGCUUGUACAAAACCCAUGAGCUUUGUGAUCAGCUUUAAAUUUGAACUGAAUCCUGAAUUACUGUAAAUGCUGCCUGUUCACACAGAACACACGUCUUUGCGUUUAAAAAGAUCUAAGUCUUGCAGCAUGUUUUUAAAAGCUGAAGUUCUUUUAACUUCACAAGAAUUUUUAAAAACGUGGCACAAUGGUCAAAUAUGUCCAUCUAACCAGUGCAUGUUUACAUUGAAACAACUACAAAACAGUGUUUUUAAAGCAAAAAAAAUACUCUCAACGCCGCAGUGGUGAAUGGGAAUUGAGAAUAUACUGGUAUGAUGCUUUGUUUUCCAGCAUGGACCUACAAAAGUUUACAGUGUACUGUUUUUCAUGAGCAAAUCUCAUGUCUCUAAACCAUUAAGGGAGCACUUUACUGCAAUGUCAUAGGCCUGCUUUAAAUAAGCAUCUGAUUUUUUUUCCCCCUUUCUUGAGAUGAUGAAAAUCUGUUUAGUUUUGUUCUUGCCUGGAAUGUACGAUAAGCCAUUAAAUACAGUCCUCAUCAAAGAAAAUGACCAGCGUCCACGAGGACUGAAUCACUUCAUAAGACUGUGCAGAGGAUGUGUGUAUACCUGUAUUACAGGAAGUGUUUGACACAGGACCUGUAACACAUACAUUGUGUACUGUUCACAUGUAACAUACUGUAGAGACUGUUUUUAAUUGGAAUACUUGUGCAUGUAUGGCCUGAAGUUUAGUGGACUGAUUGGGAUUGUUUUCUCUUGCUAUUUCUGUAAUGUUGGGAUGUUAUAUAUAUAUUACAGUAUAUUUUAAUAAUCAUUAUUUAUUUUCACCUGAGGCAUUGGCAGCCAACCAGCAUAUCAUGACCAUCAUUAUUAUUAAUUCAUUAAAAUACAACUUAUAAUAUACAUUUAAAUCAGACAAAAAAAAUUGUUCUUUAAAUAUUUCUUUUUUUUAAUGCAACAUAAAAUAGACUAAAUUUUUCCCAUUUUAUUGUUCUUAUUAUUUCUUUUGCAUGUUUGCUCCCAACAAAUUCUAUUGUACAUGAUCUUUGUCAUACGGUGGGUUGUGAAAUGCUUUGUAUUGAAAUGCC
Cyprinus carpio carpio is the source of this 2575-nucleotide long non-coding RNA. Lineage: Eukaryota; Metazoa; Chordata; Actinopteri; Cypriniformes; Cyprinidae. The record is from Ensembl.